CCGUGAAGUACUGCGGAGGACAUUAUCGAGUUUUUGACGGGUUGUAGCUGACCUCUCAAACGGGAGGUACGUGCACGCCUGGCUCAUUCCACUCUCAACCCCUGUGCACUUCUCGUAGGAAGGACUAAAAUUGUAUUGGGCGGAGAGCUGACUGAAAAGUCAGUUUGCAAGUCUUUUAUAAUCCUUCCUAUGUUUUUACUACAAACGCUUCAGUUAAAGAAUGUCUUACUUUGCGUACACCGCAUUUUAAAAUAUAUACAACUUUCAACAACGGAUCUCUUGGCUCUCGCAUCGAUGAAGAACGCAGCGAAAUGCGAUAAGUAAUGUGAAUUGCAGAAUUCAGUGAAUCAUCGAAUCUUUGAACGCACCUUGCGCUCCUUGGUAUUCCUUGGAGCAUGCCUGUUUGAGUAUCAUGAAAUUCUCAACUCCCAAGUUUUCUUUAACAAGGAGAACCUGGUGAGCUUGGACUUGGAGGCUUGUGCUGGUUCUGUUAACUCGGAAUCAGCUCCUCUGAAAUGUAUUAGCGUGAAUCUUACGGAUCGCCUUCAGCGUGAUAAUUGUCUACGUUGUGGCUGUGAAGUAUUUGUGUGUUCACGCUUACAGUCAUCUCGCAAGAGAUAACACUUUUCAACUUCUGAUCUCAAAUCAGGUAGGACUACCCGCUGAACUUAAGCAUAUCAAUAAGCGGAGGAAA
Molecule: ribosomal RNA, 694 nt
Filed under: Ceriporia purpurea
Lineage: Eukaryota; Fungi; Basidiomycota; Agaricomycetes; Polyporales; Irpicaceae
Description: eukaryotic LSU rRNA
Rfam family: 5.8S ribosomal RNA (bases 260-413)
Source: RNAcentral